RNAcentral lists this transfer RNA (73 nucleotides) under Paramuricea clavata. It matches the Rfam family "tRNA". From Rfam's summary of the family: Transfer RNA (tRNA) molecules are approximately 80 nucleotides in length. Their secondary structure includes four short double-helical elements and three loops (D, anti-codon, and T loops). Further hydrogen bonds mediate the characteristic L-shaped molecular structure. tRNAs have two regions of fundamental functional importance: the anti-codon, which is responsible for specific mRNA codon recognition, and the 3' end, to which the tRNAs corresponding amino acid is attached (by aminoacyl-tRNA synthetases). tRNAs cope with the degeneracy of the genetic code in two manners: having more than one tRNA (with a specific anti-codon) for a particular amino acid; and 'wobble' base-pairing, i.e. permitting non-standard base-pairing at the 3rd anti-codon position. The record is from Rfam by way of RNAcentral. Lineage: Eukaryota; Metazoa; Cnidaria; Anthozoa; Malacalcyonacea; Plexauridae.
GACCACGUAGCUCAGUUGGAAGAGCAUUGGGCUGGUAUUCCAAAGGUCGUAGGUUCGAAUCCCGCCGUGGCCA